This is a long non-coding RNA of Xyrauchen texanus (razorback sucker), 508 nucleotides long. RefSeq lists it as uncharacterized. The record is from RefSeq and is a predicted model, not a curated record. The transcript has 3 exons. NCBI's taxonomy places the organism in Eukaryota, Metazoa, Chordata, Actinopteri, Cypriniformes, Catostomidae.
CGCAUCCUUCCAAACGAGACAGCCACUGCUGCGAAAGGGAAAGUGCAGAAUUAGAUUCUUAUAUAUUCUAAUCUAAACGAAUGUGUAGAUAGGGUGCAGAAAGUAGUGCUGGUAACCGGUGCAAACAGUGGCAUUGCCCUUGCCCUGUGCGAGCAUCUACUGACCAAGGAUGCCCAGCUGCAGCCCUGUCUGGCCUGUAGGAACAUGCAGAGAGCCUGACAGGCUCUUCUAGUGUCUCAUCCUCAAGCUCAAAAUUCUCUGCUACACUUAAAUGUUGGCAAAAUGCACUCUGUGAUCAGGGCUGCUGAGGAGUUCAAGCUGAAGUGGAUAUUGAUGAAAACACGUCAGAGGCCCUCUAUGUAAAGUUAUUAUUAGAACAUGAAGAUACAGUGCGGAAGAAACUGCAAGAAGAGGAUCCAGUAAAAAAAAAAUAAUUUACAUACUGGAGACAAAUACAGCACAUCUCUCACACAUUCCAUCCCCCACAUCAAGCACUGUUUUAGAUAUU